Molecule: long non-coding RNA, 1358 nt
Organism: Struthio camelus australis
Lineage: Eukaryota; Metazoa; Chordata; Aves; Struthioniformes; Struthionidae
Source: RefSeq, a predicted model, not a curated record
GUCUAUCUCUAUCCUAAUUACUUGACUGAUUUGGGUUCUUUUUUGAAGAUGAUGAAAACUCAGAUACUGCAUAAACUGUAGGUGCUCGAGUACAGCAAACUCACUACAGGAAGAGGUUCUUAGGCAGAGAGAAUCAACUGAAGCUCCAAGGGAAUGAUUCAAAGCGCUUACUUCUAGAUCUCCAGAGCUGGAAGGAAUUCUCAUAUCUGGUGACGCGUGCUCGGGCAAGUGUGGGGUCUGAUCCUACCAAAUGAGAUGGCCAGAAGGGGAAAUGUCUGGGCUCAGCUGGAAUGAAUUAGUGCAUCCCUAAGGAAACCAAGAGAGGAAGCAGUGGAAAGUCUGUGGGUGCAUCCAUGUUAAAGAGAUCAUCAAGCUCGGAUUUCUCUUAUCCUACCAACUGUCCAGCAUGCUUUCCAUUGCAGGUAAUAAUAACAAUUACAGCUAGUCAGAAAUUGUUUAAUUUCUUCUAAAAAAGCUUGUUUUAAUGAAUUUCCCCAUCCACCAACACAUAUACAUUUUUCUUUUGAAUAGUACAACAGAAGGAAGAAAGGAAAAGCAUUCUGACAAACUUGUCAGACUUCCUCCCCUGUAUGGAAAGAAUUUUUUAAUCCAGCCUCUUGUAACAAAAUUCUUCAUAGAAGGAUAUUUCUACAAAAUAUUAAAAUUUCAAAUGAGCAAUUUACACUGAAAUUGUAUGUAGUUUUUCUGGAAACUAUUUUUGCCCAACUUCAGAAGAGGAUAUACCUUUGAAAUUCUAGAAUUUCCCUUAGAAUGGAAAAUACAUUUUUUUUGUUUUAUUUUUGAUUGACUAUGGUAGUGACCAGAUCUAGUUUCAAUCCCACUUGAACAGCAGGUCAACAAUGGAUUGCUUUUUUCCCAUGUAAAUAAGUCUGUAAUCUCCCAUUUGGUUUUAUGUGGAGACCCACCAUCAUGGCAGGCUUGUGACAAUCUUGUUCUUUUUGUUUUUAUAUAUAUAUAUGUGUGUGUGUGUGUGUGUGUACUUUUUUUUGCUUAGGUAAUCUACUAGUGAGUUCCAUGACUUCAUAGAGGAAAAUGUGGUUGCAAGUAGCAAUAAUUCAUCCAUUUAAUCUAAAUUAGCUGCUAGAUUAUGAUUCCUGGCUCACAUGAUCUACAGUAUACAGUAAUAUAUAUAUAUUUUUUAACAUGGCACUUCUACAUUGCCCAGCAUGGUACAAUUAUCAUGUCCCGUUCUUCUCAGUUUUCAGAAUGAACAGCAUGAUUUCUUUUGAUAGCCAUCUUUGGUUUGUCUGCAACAAGCAAGAUCACGUCUCACACCAAAUAGAGAUCUACAGAGAAAAAUCUUGGCUGGUAACAAAUAUUUUGUGAAACAUCUUAGA